Molecule: non-coding RNA, 1016 nt
Organism: Pelobates cultripes (western spadefoot toad)
Lineage: Eukaryota; Metazoa; Chordata; Amphibia; Anura; Pelobatidae
Source: the annotation of a GenBank genome assembly
GCACUCUCGGAUAACCAUAGGCAUGAAACCAUGACAGGGCACUGAGCAAGAGGAGAACUGGGCCUAAAUACCCCUCCUGUGGAUCAGAUUGGCUGAAACCGGCCUUUUGACCCCAAAGGCAAUUACCAGGUUUCCAUUUGCAUGAUUGCUGCUCAGCACAAACCCUCCUGUGGAUUUGAUUGCUGCUCGGCACAACUUUUCCUGUCAGGACAGUAAAUGCCUUAACCACAUUUUUGUGUGUGGAUGAAUACGUGACACUCCUCCAGUCUUUGUUCAACCCCUUAAUGGCAAGCAUCUUAAGUACAUAGUUGAGCACCCUUUUUCUGUUAUGACCUGCUGCAAACAAGGUGCAUAGCCAAACACAAACUUCUGGCAGUGUUCCACAGGAAUCCUGGCCAAUUGCUCAUGAGCAAUGCCCUCCAGUUGAGUAAUAUUCUUGCUGCAACCACCUUCUUCAAAUCCCACCACAGAUUUUCUAUUGGGUUGAAGUUGGGUGACUGAUGGCAACUGUAGACUUUUCCAGGAAAUCUGGUUGCAGCCAUUGAUACCUUCCUUUUUCUGCCCCAUCCAGGUAGUGUAACCACUGUUCCUUCAAUUUUGAACUUGUGAACUAUGAUUCCAACGGUGUCUCUAAGAACAUUCAAUGCCUUCGCUAUCUUUUUGUAUCCUGUGCCUUAUUUGUGAAGGACGAUGAUCUUUUCUCUUAAAGGAUCACUAUAGUGCCAGGAAAACACUCGUUUUCCUGGCACUAUAGUGCCCUGACGGUGCUCCCACCCUCAGGGCCCCCCUCCCGCCAAGCUCUGGGGAGAGGAAAGGGGUUAAAUCUUACCUUUCUCCAGCGCCAGGCGGGGAGCUCUCCUCCUCCUGGGCUGAAUGCGCAUGCGCGGCAGGAGCUGCGCGCACAUUCAGCCGGUCUCAUAGGAAAGCAUUUACAAUGCUUUCCUAUGGAUGCUUGCGAGUUCUCACUGUGAUUUUCACAGUGAGAAUCACGCAAGCGUCUCUAGCGGCUAUCAAUG